UCCUACUCCUGCUGCUCCUGGCCGUGGCCCUGCCUGCCAGGGCUGCCCAGGCUGCUCCGCUGCAAGCGCGGCGAGCAGACUGGAAUAGUGACAUGGGUUUUCAGGAAGUCCUGAUGAAGGAUGGUUUGAAGUUCUUUGAGGAUGCUGGAGCUGAACCUGCCGGUGAAGGCCCCACAUCCAGGACUGAGGCUCUGGGAGAUGCUGAGGGUGUGUCUACAGGGAGGAGAUUCAUACGUACAUUGGUGGUUAUUGCCAACAAGACCAGUUUGCAUGGCAGGGUGCCUCCGAAGAGGAAGAUGCAAGACACAACAGAGAAGAUAUCCCUGGAACCAUCCAAACAGAUGAGGCAAGUGCUGAAGAAAAUGCUGCAGGGAGGACAAG
Long non-coding RNA from Passer domesticus (house sparrow), 381 nucleotides. RefSeq lists it as uncharacterized. The transcript is spliced from 5 exons. The record is from RefSeq and is a predicted model, not a curated record. NCBI's taxonomy places the organism in Eukaryota, Metazoa, Chordata, Aves, Passeriformes, Passeridae.